This 253-nucleotide ribosomal RNA is filed under the name uncultured bacterium. Its description in RNAcentral is "partial 16S ribosomal RNA". It matches the Rfam family "Bacterial small subunit ribosomal RNA", at positions 524 to 776 of the family's 1533-position model. The record is from RNAcentral.
UACGUAGGUGGCGAGCGUUUUCCGGAAUUACUGGGUGUAAAGGGCGUGUAGGCGGGAAUGUAAGUCAGAUGUGAAAUUCCGGGGCUCAACCCCGGCGCUGCAUCUGAAACUAUGUUUCUUGAGUGCUGGAGAGGAAAGCGGAAUUCCUAGUGUAGCGGUGAAAUGCGUAGAUAUUAGGAGGAACACCAGUGGCGAAGGCGGCUUUCUGGACAGUAACUGACGCUGAGGCGCGAAAGCGUGGGGAGCAAACAGG